Transfer RNA from Loxodonta africana (African savanna elephant), 72 nucleotides. It matches the Rfam family "tRNA". From Rfam's summary of the family: Transfer RNA (tRNA) molecules are approximately 80 nucleotides in length. Their secondary structure includes four short double-helical elements and three loops (D, anti-codon, and T loops). NCBI's taxonomy places the organism in Eukaryota, Metazoa, Chordata, Mammalia, Proboscidea, Elephantidae. The record is from Rfam.
UCCCUGGUGGUCUAGUGGUUAGGAUUCAGCACUCUCACUGCUGUGGCCUAGGUUCGUUUCCUGGUCAGGGAA